This 75-nucleotide transfer RNA is filed under the name Halorubrum trapanicum. Its description in RNAcentral is "tRNA-Arg". It matches the Rfam family "tRNA". From Rfam's summary of the family: Transfer RNA (tRNA) molecules are approximately 80 nucleotides in length. Their secondary structure includes four short double-helical elements and three loops (D, anti-codon, and T loops). Lineage: Archaea; Methanobacteriati; Methanobacteriota; Halobacteria; Halobacteriales; Haloferacaceae. RNAcentral also lists the same sequence under 12 other names. The record is from RNAcentral.
GGGCACGUAGCUCAGCCAGGAUAGAGCGUCGGACUUCUAAUCCGAUGGCCGUGGGUUCGAAUCCCACCGUGCUCG